GGGGUCUCAGCCAAUCUGACCCUGGGACGGCUCGCUUCAGCUCACUUCAGAAGGGAUAUAGUCAUGAACAUGAAGUUAAGAGUUUGCUCAAGACUCCUUUAAUCAAAAUAUGGAUGAUGGCUAGCCAGCUGACAGAAUCAGGUAAAGAGGAACCCAGGAAACCUCCGCCGUAUUUGUGUACACCUGCUGUGAAUGAGGAGGGCGCUGCAUCCGCUAUGACCCUCGUGUCCCGGCUCAGAAAAGUAUGCCACGAAAGAAACACUGAAUUUUAUCUCAUUUGAUUUCCUGGCAUAAUGUGAUAUAUCAAUAUGUUGUUAACAAAUGCUCAUGGAUUUUUGAUGUUUUAAGGUUAUUCAGAAUAA
Molecule: non-coding RNA, 362 nt
Organism: Microcebus murinus (gray mouse lemur)
Lineage: Eukaryota; Metazoa; Chordata; Mammalia; Primates; Cheirogaleidae
Source: RefSeq, a predicted model, not a curated record